This 237-nucleotide ribosomal RNA is filed under the name uncultured bacterium. RNAcentral's name for it is "partial 16S ribosomal RNA". It matches the Rfam family "Bacterial small subunit ribosomal RNA", at positions 524 to 755 of the family's 1533-position model. The record is from RNAcentral.
UACGUAGGGUGCGAGCGUUAAUCGGAAUUACUGGGCGUAAAGCGUGCGCAGGCGGCUUUGCAAGACAGGCGUGAAAUACCCGGGCCGUCAACCUGGGAAGUAGGCGCUUGUUGACUGCAAAGCUGGAGUGCGGCAGAGGGGGAUGGAAUUCCGCGUGUAGCAGUGAAAUGCGUAGAUAUGCGGAGGAACACCAAUGGCGAAGGCAAUCCCCUGGGCCUGCACUGACGCUCAUGCACG